AGAACCCAAACCUGCACCAAGGAGUUACCUGCCGGCGCCUCCCACACCCUUCAGCCCCUGCCUCUUCAGUGCCCUGCAGGACCCUGGCCCAAGCGCACCAGCCUUCUAUUUCCCUAACUGCCAGCUACCUGUCCAUCCAUCCACCCUCCUUGGGCCUCAGUUGGGGCUGGAACCUGACACAUUCAUCUGCAUAUCUGGCUCUUUCCUCAAUCUGGAAUGUUCUUUUGACCUUUCUGCACCUGGCUACUUGCCUCGUUCUUUCAGCCUUAUCUCAGACACCUCCAGGAAGCCUUCUCUGAUGCUUUCCUGGCUGGACGACAAGGGAGGAGCAAGCCGAGGAGGGCCUUGAGUGUUUGCACGGAGAUGAAGUUCCUGCCCACAGGUCACAGGGGGUGGCAAGACCUAUAGUUCUGAGACCCCUGAAGGUGCCAGGCAUGGGGCUUGGGAGCUGGGCAUAUGGUGAUUAAAAAAAGAAAAACAACCCAGAUUGUCCCAUCCUCUGGUCCAGCCUCAUUAUCUUAUGACCAACAAGGAACAAAGACAGAACCUGGUGCUUCAAUUUGCUGACGUGUUCCUUGUGUCCCUGUAGCCGGCACUGCAUGCCACCCAUGUCUCUCCUGCACAUGGACAGCUUCCUACACCCAGCACCCGUGCCUCUCCGCCUGCGGCUUUCCCUGGGCACAGGUGUGUGCUCAGCCCUCAGCAGUUAACACCCCCAGGAGCAGCCCUCGGUUAAGACAAAGCUGAUGUUAACAGAGGAUCCAGUCCAAAUUCUCAUCUGCCAUGCAGAGCCUCCUCCCACGGUCCCUGUGGCAUCUGGAGGCUCCCCCCAUCUCUCUUGGCUGCUGCCCUGGAAAAGGCACUCGUCCUCCAUUCCACAUACCCCCAUGGCCUUGCCUCUGUGCCCUGCUCGUGCUGUUCCUUGUGUCCAGAACACCCUGCCACUUUGUUGCCUGCCUAGGACAUCCUUUUCCGAGGAUCCCCUCAGCAGUUACAUCUUUUGGAGACCUUCCCUGCCCCCAUGAUGGCUAAUCACUGUUACCCUCUCAUCCGGGUCGCUCUUGCACCUGUGUCUGUCUCUCUUGUGCACUUUCACUCUUGUCUGGGGCGUUCUGUCUGCACACCUGCUGUGCCCACCCCUGGGAGCGCCCCCUGACCAGGGGCCAUUUAAGGGAUGCUGUGUUACUGUGGAAAGGGGUGGGCCUUGGAGUCGGAGCAACCUGGGCUUCACACCCAGCCCUGUCUCUGCUAAAAGACCCCAGACUAGUUACCUAUUCUGCCCGCCCCAUGCUUGUUCUUCCAUGAAACAGAAAUAAUAAAACCUACCUAUGAGGUUGUUUUGGGGAAUAAAAUCAAUGUGUGUUAAGUG
This 1369-nucleotide long non-coding RNA is filed under the name Homo sapiens (human). RNAcentral's name for it is "HSALNT0068997". The record is from RNAcentral. Lineage: Eukaryota; Metazoa; Chordata; Mammalia; Primates; Hominidae.